AUGUACAUGCAUACAUCAUUAAUGCACUGGAUCCCAUUAGAAUUAUACAGUUAAGCAUGCUUGGGAUAGAGUAAUACUUGGAUGGGUGACCUCCCGAGAAGUCCUAGUGUUUUACAUG
This is a non-coding RNA of Picea glauca (white spruce), 118 nucleotides long. The record is from Rfam. NCBI's taxonomy places the organism in Eukaryota, Viridiplantae, Streptophyta, Pinopsida, Pinales, Pinaceae.